RNAcentral lists this ribosomal RNA (497 nucleotides) under uncultured bacterium. Its description in RNAcentral is "partial 16S ribosomal RNA". It matches the Rfam family "Bacterial small subunit ribosomal RNA", at positions 28 to 507 of the family's 1533-position model. The record is from RNAcentral.
GACGAACGCUGGCGGCGUGCCUAAUACAUGCCAGUUGAGCGAUGAAGAUUGGUGCUUGCACCAAUUUGAAGAGCAGCGAACGGGUGAGUAACGCGUGGGGAAUCUGCCUUUGAGCGGGGGACAACAUUUGGAAACGAAUGCUAAUACCGCAUAACAACUUUAAACAUAAGUUUUAAGUUUGAAAGAUGCAAUUGCAUCACUCAAAGAUGAUCCCGCGUUGUAUUAGCUAGUUGGUGAGGUAAAGGCUCACCAAGGCGAUGAUACAUAGCCGACCUGAGAGGGUGAUCGGCCACAUUGGGACUGAGACACGGCCCAAACUCCUACGGGAGGCAGCAGUAGGGAAUCUUCGGCAAUGGACGAAAGUCUGACCGAGCAACGCCGCGUGAGUGAAGAAGGUUUUCGGAUCGUAAAACUCGGUUGGUAGAGAAGAACGUUGGUGAGAGUGGAAAGCUCAUCAAGUGACGGUAACUACCCAGAAAGGGACGGCUAACUACGUG